Molecule: ribosomal RNA, 204 nt
Filed under: Parvimonas micra
Lineage: Bacteria; Bacillati; Bacillota; Tissierellia; Tissierellales; Peptoniphilaceae
Description: partial 16S ribosomal RNA
Rfam family: Bacterial small subunit ribosomal RNA
Source: RNAcentral
AUCGGUGUAAGAAGGGCUCGCGUCUGAUUAGCUAGUUGGAAGGGUAAAGGCCUACCAAGGCGACGAUCAGUAGCCGGUCUGAGAGGAUGAACGGCCACAUUGGAACUGAGACACGGUCCAAACUCCUACGGGAGGCAGCAGUGGGGAAUAUUGCACAAUGGGGGGAACCCUGAUGCAGCGACGCCGCGUGAGCGAAGAAGGUUU